RNAcentral lists this ribosomal RNA (454 nucleotides) under Amietia delalandii (Drakensberg river frog). RNAcentral's name for it is "partial 16S ribosomal RNA". It matches the Rfam family "Bacterial large subunit ribosomal RNA", at positions 1923 to 2543 of the family's 2925-position model. The record is from RNAcentral. Lineage: Eukaryota; Metazoa; Chordata; Amphibia; Anura; Pyxicephalidae.
UUUAACGGCCGCGGUACCCUAACCGUGCGAAGGUAGCAUAAUCACUUGUUCUUUAAAUAGGGACUAGUAUCAACGGCAUCACGAGGGUUACACUGUCUCCUUUCUCCAAUCAGUGAAACUGAUCUCCCCGUGAAGAAGCGGGGAUAAAACUAUUAGACGAGAAGACCCCAUGGAGCUUUAAGCUCAACAACAACUCUUAUGAAAAUAAUUCCCCAUAGUAUACGAGCCCUGUUUGUUAGCUUUAGGUUGGGGUGACCGCGGAGUAUAAUUCAACCUCCACGGCGAAAGGGUAUAAAACCCUAAUCCAAGAGCCACUGCUCUAAGAAUCUUUAAAUUGACGUACAAUGAUCCGAUUUUCGAUCAACGAACCAAGUUACCCUGGGGAUAACAGCGCAAUCCAUUUCUAGAGCCCCUAUCGACAAAUGGGUUUACGACCUCGAUGUUGGAUCAGGGU